Salvelinus sp. IW2-2015 is the source of this 1528-nucleotide long non-coding RNA. RefSeq lists it as uncharacterized. Lineage: Eukaryota; Metazoa; Chordata; Actinopteri; Salmoniformes; Salmonidae. The record is from RefSeq and is a predicted model, not a curated record.
CAGUAGCAGUUUAGCAAUGCGAUUUUAUAAUAACAACCCUGCCAAUUGACAACACAAAAUCGGUCGCACUGCAUAUGCGUCAUUUUUGACCUAGCGCCUUGACGUGACAUCCGAGCAGAGCAGAGCAGGGCAGUGUACAGGGAAGCAUAAAGUGCCUUAGACCGAAUGAGUGUCCCCAACUACACAGAGGAAAGUAUGAGCAGAGGAUGGAGCAGUUCCUCUGGACGUACACAGGAGGAAAGUGUCCUUCAACUGGAAAGACAUGGUCAUGUUCCUUGAGGGAGAGGACUGCUAGCAUUGAAAGUACGCUAUGCAGUAAAGGAAGGCUAACCUAUAUCAUAGCCUUUUAUGUGUAAAUAGGUUAUGUAAAGAAACACUGACAAUGGUUACUGACUGACUGUUAGACUUAUUCUUAGAGGAGUAUCUACCAUGGUGGAUAAAUGAAGAUAUCACAUAAAGGCUGUUUACCAUUAAAAAAAGGUUGGUCACAGUUCCGGUCUACUUAAGGAGUGGCUUUCCCAUACGCACCAAUGCAAUAGCAGCCGGGUCUGGUCUAGUUAGUUCAUUGACUGUAUAUGAACCAGAAAAAUAUCUCGCUUCCUCUUCAGUCACAGGUAUCUACCACAAAUCACGUGACAAUAUUUUUGCCCACAAUUCCAGAACAACACGUGCUCCGGACGUUAAAGAACGAGCGUGUCUUUGCUUGGCAGCCCGGCGAAGACCUGUCCACGGAGUAGAUGUGUGAGGUCACGUUCAGAAGCUGUAAACAGAUGUUACGGUACGACUUCCUGACACGCGAUGACAUCAUGGGGAAGCCGUGGAGGACAGUGGUGCUGAAUGACUGGGCAUGUGUGACUGGCCCCUGGGUGCCAAGUAUUUGAAUCCUUAACAAAUGGGUCAGAGACCCCAAGACCGCUGGUGAUGCCAGGAGUGAUGGUAGGAGAUAUGGGGGAAAAACUGUGUCAGAACGGACUGGACAAUGAAUAGGUUUGCAGUGUUUCACAAUGGCCAAGUCCCUCUGGAAAUAUGCUCAAUAAGAUCACUGAUGUCACCCUGAGGGAUACUCCGUCAUACCUUUUUAAGUGCUGUUGGCAGUGUAUAAAUGGCUGGUGCGUUUCCUUACGAGAGAGAGUCAGAGGAAGCUGGCCCAGGAGAGAAGGCUUCUGGCAAGGCUGACUUCGAGGCUCGCAGAUGUGUAAGAAGCUGUGGUCUACGGUGAUGGAGGGGAACAAGGUUCUAGAGCAUCCAUCCUGGUGGGCAGAGUUCACCUCAGACAAGGUGAACUCUGUGGUGGGUUUUCCUCUGACCCAAGCUGUAGGGUUCUAGAUCGCAGUUCUAGAGUCCCUGGUUCCCCGGACCCACCCAUUGAUUAAUAUAUACACUAGAUGACUGUUGAAGCCAUGGUACCUCCAUUUUGGAAGCUAUAGAAAGGAAGUCGUUGUGACGCCUCCUGGUUCGCGACGAAGCUACAGACACCUUAAUGCUUUAAAUAUAACUUUCAAAUGAUGUUAUGUGAGAUUAACAUAAA